UAUUUAUGUGUUUAGAAUGACAGGUUAUGCAGACAGAAUUGAACAAUUCAUCUCAACUGAACAGUUUAUAGUUCAGAUUUCUGUACAGAUGUAGAAACAGCAACUGAGGCCAGGUUAACAUCCAGCAGAUGUAAAUAUAGUAGAUUUAAGUAGUGGCAUCUGCAUGGCAUCAGGGAGAACUGAGUAGGAAGGGUGGUGCAUGUGAAUUCACCUGGCAUGACAAGUGGUGACUUGUAGGUUUUAAUUAUCUUUAAGGGAUUACCAUGUCCUCACAUUCAUGAGCAAUACAAAAAGGAUUGCAGUCAUGUAGAUUUUAAGUCUCAAGUUCAGCUUGAGAAAGGGUUACAGGAUUUUAGAAGGAAAUUAAUUACAUUUCUUCCCAGCCACACUCACUUCUCAUUAACAUUUUCAUAAUUUUCUUGUGUCAUGGGACCAAAUGGACUACAAAUGUGGACACAACAAUUCUUCCAGGGGUUUUUUGAGGACUGCUCUGGGUUGCUUGAAGUUCAACACGUCAGUACUUGACCGAAUCUUCCAUGGAAUCAUUCUGAAUAUGGACAGUACUCAAAGGAUUGACUUUGUUGGUACUGACAGGCUGAAUGGAGACAAGACGAGGACUCUGCAAUCGCUCCUGUAGGAAUCAAAGUUAUGGCAACUAAGCUGAACUGGAAAGAUAUUACAAAAUACUGAACUAAAAGGUUGAAGGAGACCAAAACAGCUACAACCAGUACUGCAGGGAAGACUACCUAAGAUUUAAAUGACAAAAUAGUGAUUAUACACAUUAACUGUCACAGAUGAAGCAAUGAGAGCAAUAUGUUUUAGCAGUACAACACAGAACUGUACAAAACUGUGGUGGUCCUCAUUGGGUUGUCAUCUUUGAUCAAUGUAGAGAUCACACACAAUUUGGAUAUUAUUUAAAAACUCUUUUUAGUUUCAGUGGAAGCAACUGACAAGAAAAAGAUUCAACAACACAUGGCAUACCAGACACUCCUUUUACACAGCCGUGUAUUUCCAAUCACUCUUCAACAAGAGAACUGGAUUAAUUGUGCAAGAAAUACAACUCGACAUCACAGGUUAGACUCAUACAACAAGUAGAGCCGUCUCCUCCAGUCCAGUGUGAGACCAACCCCACUGGUUUGAAUGGAGUUGUGUUGUAUGAUAAUGAAAAUUAUCCCAUAACGUCUGAUAGGAACCACCAACCUAGAGGUCAGAAUUCAUCUUGGGACAAUUUAACUGCUGCUGGAUUGGACCGGCAGCGGAGCUCAGAAGAAAUACGACACCAGGAGGAGAGCCUGUGGUUUCAGCCCUAUGGACCCUUGACAUCUGAUCGGAGAUAUGAUGUACAACUAAGUCAUCGUUCAGUUUUCCUGAAUGACCCCAGGUGGUGUCCGAAUGGUCCAUUGGUGGCAAUUAUACUGCUCCUCCUCCUUCUCCUUAUACUUAUAAUGGUCUUUUUUUUUGCCAUAGAUAAUAAAAAAAAUUUGCUUUAAAUAAACGCAUUUUGACAUUUCUUCACUGGAAGACUGGGCUCGCUUUCCUGGAACAAUUUUAAAAUGAUGAGAUCCUGUUUAGACAGCAGGGAUUCUUUUGUCACUAUUGUGAAUAUAAUUCAAAGUGCAUGCCCUUGACCUGUUAGGCCCCACAAGGAUUACUUGAUGGCCCCCUGCUGUUAAACCUGUACAUGCACCCACUUGUUCACAUUUUUCACAGCAACAACCUUGCUUAUCACAAUCUUUGACAUUUUGCCGAUGACAUCCAGAUUUACCUAGCUCUGUCACAAAAGACUCCGGUCCUAUGGAAAAGCAUUGUGCAAGGUUGCUGCUGUCUUAGAGGACAAGGCAAUGCAACCUAAAAGAAGGCUGCUUA
Dicentrarchus labrax (European seabass) is the source of this 1866-nucleotide long non-coding RNA. RefSeq lists it as uncharacterized. The record is from RefSeq and is a predicted model, not a curated record. NCBI's taxonomy places the organism in Eukaryota, Metazoa, Chordata, Actinopteri, Moronidae. The transcript has 6 exons.